This is a long non-coding RNA of Ictalurus furcatus (blue catfish), 4135 nucleotides long. RefSeq lists it as uncharacterized. Lineage: Eukaryota; Metazoa; Chordata; Actinopteri; Siluriformes; Ictaluridae. The transcript has 3 exons. The record is from RefSeq and is a predicted model, not a curated record.
CUGUUAAAGAUAGAGAGUAGAUCAUAUGGCCCCCCAUUGAGGUCUGAUCUCAAUAUCACAGUGAAGGCCUAAGUCUGGUAUGACAUGAAGAGAAAUAAUCUGUAGAGACAGCCUAAAUCCAUAGAAGAACUGUGGCAAGUUCUCCAAGACACUUUGAACAACUUACAUGCGAACUACCAUAAAGCACUGUUCACAAGUGUACUUGACUUUAUUCAGUUUUAAUGUAUACUGACUGCACUUUGUAUUAAGAUAAUUGAUAAAUGAAAUCUAUUCAUUUAAAUAUUUUUGGAAAACAUCCUUUAGAACACAUGUCACUUUGCAAUGUACUGUAGCUAAUAGUAAAACUGAUAGCUGAAAUAUUCCCAGGAUGAGAGAGUACAAAUGACAGCAGCAGAUGGAUACGGCAAAGAAUAAUUUGCAAGACCAGAAUUGGCAAAAACUGUGCAACUUUAUGAUGCAAAUUUAGGUGUUUCUUGAAAGUAAUGGGCAACAAAUACACCCCCAUUGGAAGGAAGACAAUCACUGCGAAAUGCAUUCCUUUGUUGGUUAAAGGGGUUAAAUAUACAAUUAAAAAGAAGCUCCAGACCCAAUCAUCUGUUUCCGUAACAGCUGACAUAUGGUCUGACCAAAUCAUGUGGAAAACUGGGUGUCACAGCCCAUAGAUUAAAUCAAACUGAAAAUCAGUUGGAGUCCUUUCUGUUAGACUGUAGACAGUUUAGUGGCAGGCACAAUGGAGAGAACAUAGGCUUGGCAUUUGACGAGAUGAAUAUAACACAGCAAGUAAAGUUAGGCACAUUAUCACUGAUAACGCAGCCAACAUGAAGUGUGCAUUUAAAUUCAAGCUACCAAAGGAGGAGUAGCACAGUGAUGAUAGUGAUGUGGAAGAAGAAAACUUAGAUGAUAAGAGUCUUUGGGAGGAUGGAGCCUAGUGAGAGCAAGGCAAUCGCUGUUAUGUUUUGCACAUUCUCUGCAAUUAGUUGUGCUUGAUGGUAUGAAAGAAGCCAAGGCCUUUUGUUCAGCAUUUGCCAAAAUGUCAACAUUCACUUCAUUACUUCACACUAGUGCACAGUUUAAAGAGUGAUUUGAAGCUGCAUUUGGGACAGAUAGAUCCAUUUCUGCAGCUACAUCAACAUUCUGGAACAGUACAUUAAAGCAACUGCAGGCUCUUACAGCACUUGACCAUAGGGCUCUCACACAAUAUGCAGUUUAGACUUUCAACAUGUUCUUUUUUUUCAGUUUGUGAAUGGAAUCAAUCCUUCGAUUUAGGUACUGUUCUCUCUCCUUUUGCGGAAGCAACAGACCUUAUAGAGGGUGAGAAAAUGGUCACCAUUACUAUGCUGGUCACCACUGUAUUGGAUUUAAACACUAAUCUGCUCCAAAUAGUAGAGUUAAGAAGUCAGUGCCAGCUGUUAGUGACAGCCCUUUGUCAUUCCAAGAGGAUCUGUAAAGAUCGCUUAUAGCUAAUGCAUUUUAUUUGCUUUAAUAACCUAAAAAUUAGUUGUCUGCUUUUUAUUCUCAAGGAACCUUCUUCUUAUUUGUCUGCCAUAUAGUGUAUAUUUAGAAGAGCAUAAAAUAUGCAGUAGACAUACAACAAUGGUCCUUAGGUCCCCAAAUCCAGACAAUACAUUUUAACAUGUAUGAUUUGUAUGUGUUUCAUAUUUUUCAGAUACUUUGACUGCCUAAGUUGAGGCCACAGCAGAAGAAGACAUGCUGGAUUCUGAAGUUAACAGUGAUACAACCAUAGACUCUCCUCCUGGCAUCUAGCUGGAACCCCAGUUUAGAAGCAUACUGCUCUUGGCAGAUGGUGAAAUCCCUCAUGCCAAAUGUUUAUGAAAUAGGAUGAGAAUAUACAACACUAUAGUUGUGUCCCAAAUGAUGAAGGGGAGAACAAGGCAGAACCUAACGUGAGCAUGAGAACCAAGCCAAGGAAGACACAGGGGAUACCUCCCCACCCGGGCCUCUGCAUCCUCGGUUGCACCCUCUCUCCCCCACUAAACACUAUGCACCAUGUACUCUACCGUCUAGUGUAUGAAUUUUAGAAGGGUAGUUUCAUCUCAAAUGGAACACUAAAGGUUUUUUUACUAACUGGAAAUAUAAGGCAUUUCACACUCAUUGGCAUUAGUUCUGUAUAUGUAGAACAAGGUUACUUCGCUGUAGGACCUGGAGGGCUAAAGAUGUUGGAACUUUGAGGAUUUCUCUGCUCUAACACAGUUCAGUCAAUGACUCCAUUCAUAAGCAAGAAAAUCAUUGAACUGAGCUUACUGGAUGGACUUGUGCACCCCUGGUCUGUAGUUAUGGCAUAAGGAGUAUUAGAUGUUCAUAUUGCAUAAAUAUUUAUAUAAAAAGAAAUACUGGAGUAUUGUUAGUAUGAUCAAGAAUUUUGGGAAAAUAAAUCGCAAGAUAUUAUGGAGAUGGAAUUAGCACAGUUCUGAAGUUAUUAGUGCACUAAACAAACAAGCUCUUAUGUAACUAAUGUGGCAACUCCCCCACCCAGACUGAAUCAGGUAUUCUCUCUAUUUUUACUAAUUAGGAGUUUUGUACUUGUAGACUUUGUGGUUAGAAGCUAAAGAGCUUUUCACUUGUGUCUAAUAAUAGCUUGUCUCAGUUGUGCAUGUGUUUUUCCUUCACUGGUUAUUAAAAAGCACAUCAUUUACAGUCAGGUCGAUCACUAUUUGUAUAGAAGCAUAAUUUUGGUAUUUUUGCCUCUGUACAUCACCACAAUGGAUUUGAAAUGAAGCAAUCAAGAUGUGAUUGAAGUGUAGAUUUUCAGUUUUUUUUCAAGGGGUUUAACAAAAAUAUUACAGCCAUUUUUUAUGGAGUCUCUUCAUUUUCACAGGCUCAAAAUAAAUUGGACAUACUAACAAUUAUAAAGACUAUUUUUAAUGCUUGGAUGCAAAUACUUUACAGUCAAUGACUGCCUGACUUCUGGAACCCAUGGACAUCAUCAAAUGCAGAGUUUGUGUUUUUUGCCUCAUGAAUUCUUUUUUUUUUGUCUUCUGGAGUUCCUUCUGAAGUUUGGCACAUUCUUUACUGGUAGGUGGGUGUGAUAUGUGAAGACACCUGUAUAUCAAAAGUAUGUGGAUAUCCCUUUUGAUUAAUAUUGGGUUAUUUAAGCCACACUCAUUAUAACAGGUUCAUAAAAUCAAGCACACAACCAUACUAUCUCCAUAGAGAGUAGAUGACAAUAGAAUGACUUGUACUGAUGAACUCUGUAACUUUCAACGUGACACUGUCAGCUGCCCUGCUCUACUGUACGUGUUGUUAUUGUGAUGUGGAAAUGUCUAAGAACAACAGCUCAGACUCAGAGUGGUAAACCAAACAAGCAUUUGCACAACUCAUGUGAUGAAUUUAAGCUGUCUAAUGACAAUUUUUCCUCGCAGCCUCAGGUCAUAGAUUUUGUACACAAAACAUUGCCUCAGUUUCCAGUUUUGCCCUUGUCUAAUUCCUGUGACUCCUUUGUGGAGAAACCAUUAUCUUUUAAAGGCAAAAUAUCUAGCCUAUACUGUAAAAGUCUGAGAUUUUUCAUGACUGCAAAGGGUGACUGGAAACAAUAUCUAGGUGAAACAUUUCAGAACAACUUGACAUUCUAUAUUACAUAAGAGUUCUUACAUACAUAGGGUUCUUACAUCUAAGUUAUAUACACUUACUCAAUUUGUUCAAAACAUGGCCUUAUGCAGUGUAAAACUGUACACUGCAUUCAUUGGACAUUUUUCACAGAUGUUAGUCCAAUAUGUAACUGGUUUUAUGCAUCCUCUGUAACCCAUGCACACAUGUUUGGAUUUGCACAAAACUUGCAAAGUGUUCAGAGGCAAACCUAGAUUAUGUGAGGGCCCCAGGCAAAAUAAAUAUGUGGGGCCCUUCUGACACAUUUAUGUUGCUAUUAUGUCUUCAUGUUACCCAGAGAUACUACUAUGACCCUUUAUGUCUGCCAAGGAAUCACAGUAGAUGUGUGUUUCAAAGAUUUAAUUUCUUUAUUGAUUUCUUUCAUUUCUUUAUCUAUUCUACAAUUGCUGAUCAUGGUCUCAAAACUGUGUCCCUUCCCCCUAUGGCUGUAAAUCAUCCAGGGCUGAGCCCAGAUUCUUCUCCAUCAAAAAUCUUGUAUAACUGUUCUUCUAAAUAAACUGUUUCCAUUCUU